AUAUUUACAAUCAUAAAUCACUCAGAAUUUUUAUAAAUAAUCUAACGUUGAGGGUAUGGAUUCAAGUCUCAGUAUAGAUUUAGUGCUGGGACUUGACUCCCCCGUAUAAUGGAGUUAGUUGACUUUCCUCAUUAAGAUAGAAUUAACCUCUUUUUAAUUUAUAGUGAGAUUAAUAUUCAGACUUGCACGUAAGUCAUAAAAUAAAUUAACGCAGUCUGUGCAUGGUCAUUGUUAGACAAAUGUAUGAAUUUUGCAUUGAAUAGUCAUAGAGCAAAUCCACUACAUGUCUGUCUCCCAUUGGCUGUGGCUGCCCACAUCUCCCAUGAUUUUUUUUUUGUUUUAAAUUUUGUUCCCAAUUAAUUUAAUGUUCUCUAGAUUAAGAUGUUCGACAAUUUAAUAACACAUUGGAGACAGUACUCUUGCAAGGUAGCUGGAUCCUUUUUCAAGGUAAAAGAUUUUAAUAAAUUCUUUUGAAACUCGAUCUCACAAGCUCAACCAUCCUUUUUGUCCGUAAUUUGUUAUCGAAGGAUCUAUGCACAAACUUACGGCCCAUACGGGACCGUAUUUAAGAGUUGAAUUGGACAAUAUUACAACUAACACGCAGUUCUCUGUUUUGACUUGAGUUAUACUAUAUACACCCCAAUUAUAUUUGGCUUACACCCCCGUUUCGAAAUAAGGCGCUGUUAUUUUAUUUAUAUGUUGUACCCUGCUUUUCUGGACUUAACACGUCGGCAGGAAGUUGAAACCAAGUAAGACAAUAAGGUUACGUUUGACACGUUGAAUUGAAUUGGACUAAUUAUUAGGAUUGGACUAGAUUAAGUUGGAUUAAAUUAAAUUGGAUUAUAUUAUGUGUUGUAUUAUGUUUGGUACAAUAUUAGAUUGGACAAUGUUAAAUCAUAUUUAAAUACAAAAAAAAUAUUU
This 921-nucleotide long non-coding RNA is filed under the name Citrus x clementina. RNAcentral describes it as "Citrus clementina (C. clementina) long non-coding RNA (CCLE_LNC003474)". The record is from RNAcentral. Lineage: Eukaryota; Viridiplantae; Streptophyta; Magnoliopsida; Sapindales; Rutaceae.